RNAcentral lists this unclassified non-coding RNA (550 nucleotides) under Hevea brasiliensis (rubber tree). Lineage: Eukaryota; Viridiplantae; Streptophyta; Magnoliopsida; Malpighiales; Euphorbiaceae. The record is from RNAcentral.
AUAUAUAUAUAUAUAUACAUAUACACAACCAAAUCCUUGAGGUUUAACAAAACUCACUCACACAUUUGUCGUUCUUGAGAAGACCACUUUUGCUAUUACAGUCAGUUACAGAGUCGGGAGAUAAUGUUGGGAAUUUGUUGGGAAUUUGUUAGUUAGAUGAUAUCUGUAGACUUGUUGGAUAUAAGAGACGAUAGUUAACCGUGUAAAAGAUAUCUUGAUUCAUUUUGCUAAAUAAUAUAUUCUGGUUCUUGAUCUUUUGCUGUGUUCUUUCUUUUUUCCAUUCUAAAACAUAACAGGAAAGCCACAUAUGAUAGAUGACCCUUCUCCUAUGCUUGAAAAAUAGGGAGAUUCAAAAACUAGAGGCACCUAAAAAUAGGCUUACUUCUAUUUUUAUAUGGACUAAGAAAAUGUAGUUAAUUUAGUUAAAACAAUUUUAUUUAGUUUUUCCCAAUAAAUCCUCCACUCAUAUUACUAAAUUAAAAAUUAAACAACUCAUGUCACUAAAUUAUUCUUAGAACUAAUAGAUUUUACUUUUUCAAUGCAUAUUAAA